This 239-nucleotide unclassified non-coding RNA is filed under the name Glomeraceae sp. RNAcentral's name for it is "partial contains 5.8S ribosomal RNA and internal transcribed spacer 2". The stretch from base 1 to 72 matches the Rfam family "5.8S ribosomal RNA", at positions 84 to 154 of the family's 154-position model. Lineage: Eukaryota; Fungi; Glomeromycota; Glomeromycetes; Glomerales; Glomeraceae. The record is from RNAcentral.
GUGAAUCAUCAAAUUUUUGAACGCAAAUUGCACUCUCCGGUUUUCCGGGAGAGUAUGCCUGUUUGCGGGUCAGCCUAAAAAAAAUCGACAUUGUUGCUGUUAUUUAAUGGUGACUUUCGUCGGAGAUUGGGUUAUCUUAAACCUUUUUUUUUUUUUGUUUUAGGCACUUUAAAUUUUUUUUUCACAAUUCCUUAACGGUUUCUAAGUUUUUUUUUUCUUUUACUUUUAAGUUUUUCCGA